GACGUAGGAGGCGAGCGUUGUCCGGAUUCAUUGGGCGUAAAGAGCUCGUAGGCGGUUUGUUGCGUCGGCUGUGAAAUCCCGAGGCUCAACCUCGGGUCUGCAGUCGAUACGAGCAAACUAGAGUGUUGCAGGGGAGACUGGAAUUCCUGGUGUAGCGGUGAAAUGCGCAGAUAUCAGGAGGAACACCGGUGGCGAAGGCGGGUCUCUGGGCAACAACUGACGCUGAGGAGCGAAAGCGUGGGGAGCGAACAGG
This 253-nucleotide ribosomal RNA is filed under the name uncultured bacterium. Its description in RNAcentral is "partial 16S ribosomal RNA". It matches the Rfam family "Bacterial small subunit ribosomal RNA", at positions 524 to 776 of the family's 1533-position model. The record is from RNAcentral.